UAUAUACUCCUUUCGUCCGGAAUUACUUGUCGCAAAAAUGAAUAGAAAUGGAUGUAUCUAGAACUAAAACGCAUCUAGAUACAUCCAUUCCUCCGACAAGUAUUUCCGAACGGAGGGAGUAUAUA
Non-coding RNA from Hordeum vulgare subsp. vulgare (domesticated barley), 125 nucleotides. Lineage: Eukaryota; Viridiplantae; Streptophyta; Magnoliopsida; Poales; Poaceae. The record is from Rfam.